RNAcentral lists this ribosomal RNA (492 nucleotides) under uncultured bacterium. RNAcentral describes it as "partial 16S ribosomal RNA". It matches the Rfam family "Bacterial small subunit ribosomal RNA", at positions 29 to 507 of the family's 1533-position model. The record is from RNAcentral.
AUUGAACGCUGGCGGCAUGCUUUACACAUGCAAGUCGAACGGUAACAGGCCUUCGGGUGCUGACGAGUGGCGUACGGCUGAGUAAUGCAUCGGAACGUACCCAGAGGUGGGGGAUAACGCAGCGAAAGCUGUGCUAAUACCGCAUGUGAUCUGAGGAUGCAAGCGGGGGACCGAGCAGCAAUGUUUGGCCUCGCGCCUUUGGAGCGGCCGAUGUCGGAUUAGCUAGGUGGUGGGUUAAAGGCCUACCAAGGCGACGCUCCGUAGUUGGUCUGAUAGGACGACCACCCACACUGUGACUGAGACACGGCCCAGACACCGAGAGGAAGCAGCAGUCGAGAAUUUUGUACGAGGGGCGCAAGCGGGAUCCAGCAAUGCCGGGUGCGGGAUGAAGGCGUUCGGGUUGGUGACCGCUUUUGGCAGGAACGAAGCGGAGUCCGCUAAUACCGGGCGCUAAUGACGGUACCUGCAGAAUAAGCACCGGCUAACUACGUG